CCAACUUAGGGGUGAAGUCAUCUUGUUAUUUCUUCACCCUUUUCCCGAUUUCUGAGUCUUUGCAUUCUUAGGUUUUUAGAAUGUCUGAUUCCAGCAAUUAGAAAAAAGGUUGGUGAUGAGUGGGAAUUCCGCAAAAUAUGCGAUCAAUAUAUUGACUUCUCUACUGGAGUUUCUUGCAUCACGCGGUUGAAAUCGGACAUUUGGAGAUGUGCAAAUUCUUGAUCAAGAAAGUCCAAGUUUUUGUUGAUGCCUUGACUUACAAGAGUUUCUCUCUCACGCGCGCGUUUCUUCUUGAUGAAUUGUUUGUUCUGCUGUUUGUUUAUGCAUGUUUAAGUAAUCUUUCCUUGUAUACUAACACCAUAAACUGCAUCAGUGGAUACUCCUAUAGCACAAGCUUCCAAAGGGGAACAUGUCAAAAUUGUGGAGUUUCUCAUCGAACAUGUUUCUUGGUGGUGGCAGAUGGGAUUGCGGCUGCCUACUCUUUUUUCCAACUUGGUGUGAGUAUGAUUAGAGGGAGUGCGCUCUUCAAAAGGCCCUUUUCUCUGGGGAUCAUCUGCAACCUACAUGCUCCUGAGUGAUAAUGUUGAGACGAUCGUGCAUCACAUCACUGGUAGGGUACGCCGGGAGAC
Molecule: long non-coding RNA, 629 nt
Organism: Salvia hispanica
Lineage: Eukaryota; Viridiplantae; Streptophyta; Magnoliopsida; Lamiales; Lamiaceae
Source: RefSeq, a predicted model, not a curated record